UACGUAGGGACCGAGCGUUGUCCGGAAUCAUUGGGCGUAAAGGGCGCGUAGGCGGCUAGAUGUGUCAAAGGUGAAAUCCCUCGGCUCAACUGAGGAACUGCCUUUGAAACUGUCUGGCUUGAGGCCGGGAGAGGGUAGCGGAAUUCCCAGUGUAGCGGUGAAAUGCGUAGAUAUUCGCAAGAACACCAGUGGCGAAGGCGGCUCACUGGCCCGUUACUGACGCUGAGGCACGAAAGCGUGGGGAGCAAACAGG
RNAcentral lists this ribosomal RNA (253 nucleotides) under uncultured bacterium. RNAcentral describes it as "partial 16S ribosomal RNA". It matches the Rfam family "Bacterial small subunit ribosomal RNA", at positions 524 to 776 of the family's 1533-position model. The record is from RNAcentral.